UCGAGAAUCUUUCGCAAUGCCCGAAAGGGUGACGAAGCGACGCCGCGUGCGGGAGGAAGGCCUUCGGGUUGUAAACCGCUGUCGGGAGUUAAGAAAUGCAAGGAUGUUAAUAGCGUUCUUGCUUGACUAAGGCUCCGGAGGAAGCCACGGCUAACUCUGUGCCAGCAGCCGCGGUAAUACAGAGGCGGCAAGCGUUGUUCGGAAUUAUUGGGCGUAAAGAGCACGUAGGCGGCUGUGUAAGUCGGUUGUGAAAGCCUUCCGCUCAACGGAAGAACGGCAUCCGAUACUGCAUGGCUUGAGUGUGGGAGGGGAGAGUGGAACUUCUGGUGGAGCGGUGAAAUGCGUAGAUAUCAGAAGGAACACCGGCGGCGAAGGCGACUCUCUGGUCCAUAACUGACGCUGAGUGUGCGAAAGCUAGGGGAGCAAACGGGAUUAGAUACCCACAUAGUCCCUGAGCGGGCUGGCAAGGCGCAU
This 474-nucleotide ribosomal RNA is filed under the name uncultured bacterium. RNAcentral's name for it is "bacterial SSU rRNA". It matches the Rfam family "Bacterial small subunit ribosomal RNA", at positions 355 to 825 of the family's 1533-position model. The record is from RNAcentral.